RNAcentral lists this ribosomal RNA (253 nucleotides) under uncultured prokaryote. RNAcentral describes it as "partial 16S ribosomal RNA". It matches the Rfam family "Bacterial small subunit ribosomal RNA", at positions 525 to 777 of the family's 1533-position model. The record is from RNAcentral.
ACGAAAGUGUCGAACGUUGUCCGGAAUAACUGGGCGUGAAGCGUGCGCAGGCGGUUUGUUAAGUCUGUUGUGAAAUCCCCGAGCUCAACUUGGGAAUUGCAAUGGAUACUGGCAGGCUGGAGUACGGUAGAGGAAGGUAGAAUUCCCGGUGUAGCAGUGAAAUGCGUAGAGAUCGGGAGGAACACCAGUGGCGAAGGCGGCCUUCUGGACCAGUACUGACGCUCAUGCACGAAAGCGUGGGGAGCAAACAGGA